GAGACACUGGUGGCCAAUAGAGUACAGUCUGAAAUGCAUUGCGGCUGAAGAGGCAAAUGACUGUCUGGCUCUGAUAAUGGUGCCUGCCUUUCCUAUGCUGCCACACUGAAGGCAGCAGUUCCUUACAUUUCCCAUGCAGCCUGCACAAUUGCCCCACAAGGUAACAUGCACAGUCAGCAGGUUGACUGUGACGAAUGGAGUGACGAUCAGAGACCUGUUGUUUCUGGCUAUUCUGACAUCUAUUCCCUUCUCCCCUUUUAGCAACAUUUUUUUUAUCUUGGUUAACCCACCCCUUUUGGGUACUUCUCACAAUUUCUUUGUCAAGCUGUGUCAUUUGGAUCUUGUAUGUUCCAGAACAAUUUCUUACUGGGUGGGUAGUAUCAUUUUGAUAGAUGGCUACAUAUAUGCAGUGUUAGAUAUAUGUUAAAGUUAUGAUAAUAUCAUCUCAGAGUCACACAUGGAUCAAAUGAGUGGUAAAAUGGUAACAGUGCCCAGAGUGUGGGCUUUGGUGUCACUACCACGUGUCCAUGAUUGAAGUACCUGACAGAAACAGCCUGAGGGAGUAAAGAUUUAGUUUAGCUCACAGUUUCAUUGGGACUUCAAACACACCUCCCCAAGGCUGUCCAUAGCAUCUUAAAAUAGAGCCACAACCUGGGGGCUAAACACUCAAGACAUGAGCCUUUAAGGCACAUCCCAGGUCAGAAUCAGAAGGGCUAGUGAAGGGUGGUGAAGGUGUUGAGCAUAACCUUGGAAAUUCACAGGGUGUGGUCUGCCCACGUUCAUAAAUUUCAGGGAGGAUGGACCACAGCCCAUGUUAGCCUUUGUUAGUAUAGCUGCCUAGGAGUGCUGAAGUUAGCCUAGAGAACAGCACAGUUGGAGGUACAGACAGGUUUAUCCCAUUUUACCUGGGAUCUUACUGAUUUUGAAACUUGAAUCUGACAGCCUAGAAAUCCCUCAGUUCUCAGACCAGCACAUCUGGUCAUCCAGACUGGAAAGUGAGAGUGUGUCCUGAUGACAUUAUUAGAGUUCUCAGAUCCAGCCCUGUCUGUGAACUUUCACUGGUUUCAAAUGGGUCCUCAGGAACUAGUUUCUCUGGGAACAAAAACAUCUGGGUGCCCCCUCCUAGCCAGCUCUUGGGUUUUUUUUUUUUCUUUGAUCUUUGAGAUGAGCAGCUGAAUAUUUUUCACAUUCUCUUCCGGUUUCAUAAAAGUUAUGCAUCUGUAUCAAUCAGGCUAGCCUUCCAACCUCCCCUUCUUCAAAUUGGCCAUUAAAAGAAAAACAAAACCCACCAACAACACCCC
Molecule: long non-coding RNA, 1301 nt
Filed under: Mus musculus (house mouse)
Lineage: Eukaryota; Metazoa; Chordata; Mammalia; Rodentia; Muridae
Description: long non-coding RNA chr15:58233060-58234361
Source: RNAcentral